This 391-nucleotide long non-coding RNA is filed under the name Mytilus galloprovincialis (Mediterranean mussel). Lineage: Eukaryota; Metazoa; Mollusca; Bivalvia; Mytilida; Mytilidae. The record is from RNAcentral.
CUUUUACAAUAAUUUGUUACAAAAAAUUAGUUACUUCCGGUUUACAAAAGGUCACUUCCGGUUAGCUUUUUCAACGUCAUACUGCUUGCAACCUUAUGCAAAAAGUCAAAUACCUUUAACAUGAAUACAUAUGAGGUAAAAGCAAAGGUCAAAAUCUAGAACGUUAAAUUAACAUAUGACCUUGAGCUCAAUUUCAAGGUCAUGAACCAAGGACAUCAAAUCAAAAGACUCUAGGUCUUUACUUUAUAUUGUUAAUGAGUUAUAUUACCAUACGACUGAUAUUAGAUAUAAAAGGGGGAAAAACUCGCAACAAAUGUUUACGUACCCUUUCGACUAAAAUUUAUGUGUAACUACAUGUCGCGACUAUCAAUUAUGUGAAAAUAUUUUGUCG